UGAGUAAGCUGGAUGAUUGCUCCGCCCUGGGCGGAGAGGAAAGUCCGAACACCCGCCUCCGCUUAAAGCUUCGGCGGGCAGGCCCCCAGUAACCACUAUUAAGUAUAUUGGAAGCUUGCACACCGAAGCCUUGGCGAAGGUGUCGUGGAUAGUCGCUAAAGGCGACCGAGAAUUAUUUUUGAAAGAGGCUAUAGCCUUUUAAAAAUUAAUAGCUUAGGGAUAGUGUCACAGAAACAAUACUGCCCCCACACCAUUCUGCUAAAUCGAAGUGGUUUAUUAUUUAGAAAAAAUAUAGCAGAAAGGUGUGGGGGUAAAGGUGAAAAGAGGUGAGGUAAGAGCUCACAGGCUGGCUAGGUGACUAGCUGGCGUGAAAAACCCUAUCCGGUGCAAGACCAAGUAGACCCCACACCAAUUCUAAUUUAAAUUACAUACGGUUAUUAAAAAGGAAUUGGUGUGGGGUGGGUUGGUCGCAUGAGUUCUGUAGCAAUACAGAACCAAGAUAGAUAAUCAUCCGUCUUCGUUGUUCGAACUACGACGGACAAGUCCAAUUGGUAACUUGUCGUCCGUAGCUCGGAGAGCGCAGGACGACAGAAUUCGGCUUAUAGGCUUACUUUCAGC
This 618-nucleotide RNase P RNA is filed under the name Patescibacteria group bacterium. RNAcentral describes it as "RNase P RNA component class A". It matches the Rfam family "Bacterial RNase P class A". From Rfam's summary of the family: Ribonuclease P (RNase P) is a ubiquitous endoribonuclease, found in archaea, bacteria and eukarya as well as chloroplasts and mitochondria. The record is from RNAcentral.